GGCUGGAGUGCAGUGGCGCGAUCUCAGCUCACUGCAAGCUCCACCUCCCGGGUUCACGCCAUUCUCCUGCCUCAGCCUCCCGAGUAGCUGGGACCACAGGUGCCCACCACCACGCCCGGCUAAUUUUUUGUAUUUUUAGUAGAGACGGGGUUUCACCGUGUUGGCCAGGAUGGUCUCGAUCUCCUGACCUUGUGAUCCACCCACCUCGGCCUCCCAAAGUGCUGGGAUGACAGGUGUGAGCC
Molecule: long non-coding RNA, 242 nt
Filed under: Homo sapiens (human)
Lineage: Eukaryota; Metazoa; Chordata; Mammalia; Primates; Hominidae
Description: LHRI_LNC1613.1
Source: RNAcentral